UCAAGGGAAUGCUGCUGUCAAGGUUAUGUGCCGCUUAUGCUUCUCUGGAGAAAACGAGGGCAGCUCAAAAGCUGCCAAAAUGGUUCCAUGCAAACUCUGCAACAAGAAGUAUCAUAAGAAGUGUGUGAAAAAUUGGGGUGAACAUAGAGGUAAUUUAAAAAAUUAUUCCCUGCGUGCGUCUUAAAAACAUUGUCUUCUGUAUCCUUUGAUGAUAUCCAUUCCAUCUAGAUCUCUUCCACUGGAGCUCGUGGAUCUGUUCAUCUUGCCGCAGCUGUGAGGUUGGUUGUCUAUAACAUCAUUAUCCUUACCUUGUACAUGUGUAUUUCCCAAUCAGAGUUUUUGUGACACCAGAAGUAUUUAAGGGUGUGUUUGAUUGAAGGGAUUGAGUGGCUGUGGGUAUCUCCAACCACCUGGUUAGGGAUAGCCACUUUUUUUGUUUGGUUGAGUAGAAUGCACAAGUGGUUGAAGAUAACCACUGCGUGUUUGGUUUGAGGGAUGAACGGACGAGUGGUGGUCUGGUGGAUAAGAGUUCGAGUAACCUUCUAUUGAGGUGGUGAGAUUACCUCGUAAUUACAACAUAAAAUUACAUGUUGCUUAUUACAUGGUGCACGUCCAUCAAUGCAACUAGAUAUCCAAUUAUGCCUACUCGAGAAAUGUAAUCCAAGUCAAAUGUGUAUGUAUAUGUGGACAUGGGAACAAAUCAACAGUUGAAUGAAGUUGGGGCAAAAGUUUGCGAGAAACACGAUCGUGGUAUCUCUAAGUUUCAGAUUACAAACACUAAUUUAACUAAGUAUGCAAUCAUUAAAAACUGUAUAUACAGAACAGAAUACUUCACGGUUCAUAUUUACAGCCUACUCAUGUUCGUUGGGGUUGGCAGUUGCCUCAAAAGCAAUUAUGCAACAGAGGAAGACAAAUUCAAUGGGAGGAGGUAACAGACAGAGGUUAGAGGGACUGCCGCUGUGUGCCAUGCGCCCUCAUGCCGCCGGACACGAGCUCACUCAGCGAGCACCUACAAGGCUCUACAUUGAGCCGGCGCCCCACCCCAGGGCAGCGCAGAUGCAUCAUCAGGCUGGCUCCGCCUUUGGUCUUCCUCGCCGUGCUCUUUGGUCGGCCUGCGGCAUGGAUGACUCCGCCGCCCUGCGUGCCCUUGUCGGCCCCGCCACCGUGCCAUGGCUGGCUUCACUGCCUCGCGCCUUGGCCGGCCCUGCCGCCCAGCACCAUCAGGAUCUGCCGCCCCAAGCCCUGGAGGCAGCCACCACCCUCGCCUUUGAUGUGCCACGGUCUCGCGCAAUCUGGGCAGCUGACUAAGUCAAGCGAAGAGGCCAUAUAGCGGAAGAGAGGUGACAGAAGAGAAGAAAACGUUUCGCGGUGAAGCUAGCGAUGCACGCGGGUGCUUGGCUAUGUCCACGAGAUUUUCACGGACGCGCUCAGCCUUGUUUUGAUAGCAUACGGGGAAUCUUGGCUCUACCCAUAUCCCUGGCCAUCCCUUCUCUCUGUUGAACCAAACACCUGAUAACCACCUAAAAAUUGGCUAUUCCUGGCCAUCCGGGGAUAGCCACUGAACCAAACGCACCCUAACAGUUCUCUAGUACUAUUAAUUUUGGCUUCCGUAUGCUGGUACAUGACUAGAGUUUAAAUCCUUUUUGAGUCGGUGCAGUUUAUGAAAGUUGUAGCAUACAUUUUGCAUUAUCUAAGAGCUCUAAUAUUUGUAUAUGCAUCAACUGUUAUUGUGGUGGCCAUUACCUUCCAAAUCAGCAAAUACUUACGUUUGAUCAUAAUUAAUUUUGAAGUUCUCCUCCAUGUUCCUAUAUGAGCAGUUGUAGAGUACUCCCUCUGUCCCAUAUUAAUUGUCGCUGAAACGGAUGUAUCUUGACGUAUUUCAGUGCUAGAUACAUCUGUUUGAGCGACAAUUAAUGUGGGACGGAGGGAGUAGCAUCUUUGCACCGUGUAGAACGUUUGUUAUGCCUUAGUUACCGCCAGCUUUCUUGGUAAAGAGGGAAAUGAACCCAGAUUCUUUGCCUAAUUCUGUGUAAAUAAACACGUAUUUAGGUGUGUCGGCGGCCUGGUGAUCCCAAUAAGUUAAUGUUCUGUAAAAGGUGUGAUGGAGCCUAUCACUGUUACUGUCAGCAACCCUCACACAAGGUACACCUAUUGUGCACCUUCCUCAUUCUGCUUUCUACAAAUUGAAUAUGUGGGGCUCGUCACUUAACAGUGAACUUUACAACGUUGCAGAAUGUUACUCAUGGACCAUAUUUAUGUCCAAAACAUACAAGGUGUCACAGCUGUGGAUCUGGUGUACCUGGGAGUGGCCAUAGCACAAGGUACUUAAACCACUAAUGCGGAUGAAUGAUAUUGUUCUGAAAUUUACUUAAGAUCUUUUUAUCACGUAUUUGCCACUUUAUGUGUCGUGCUUAUAUACGUUAUUGCGAGUUUUGGUGCGCAGGUGGUUUUUGGGGUACACAUGCUGUGAUGCUUGUGGGCGGUUGUUUGUGAAAGGAAACUACUGUCCAGUUUGCUUGAAGGUACCUCCUUCCCUUUUACUCUCUCUUGGCAUGACUACUGUCCUUCUACACAGAACGAUUUUAUCAUGUGCCCUGUUAAAUUUCAGGGUAUUAGAAAAUGUUUUGUUUCUCUCCAGCUGCUCUUUCUCUUCUAAUAUAGUGACCAUAUGCUAUGCGUGAUGCCUUAAAAUGAGGAUCCUGUUUGUCUAUAGCUGAAAGUUUCUUAUUGAGACUUUAUUUGUUAAGUUUAAAAUGUACUAAGCAAUGUUGGGUCAUAUACACCAUAAUGUGUUGCGGAGUUUUUCCAUGCUAACUUCCGCUGAGAUACCUUUUCUGUUGCUUGGUUCACCCCUUUUCAGGUUUAUAGAGAUUCUGAAGUGAUACCUAUGGUUUGCUGCGACGUUUGUGAAAAGUGGGUACAUAUUGAAUGUGAUGGCAUCAGGUCUUUCUGAACGUCAACCCCUCAUUUUGUUUAAAUUAACCCACUCGUAUUUGUUGCCUUCUCUGAAUCUAGUGUUUAGUGCCUUGAUACUUCAAGAUUUUCACUUCUGUGGUGUACUACGCUUUACUGACUUUCCAUAUAAUUAUGCAGCGAGGAAAAGUACCAGCAGUUCCAAGCUGACCAAAAUCUCCAGUAUACAUGCGCAUCAUGCCGUGGUGAAUGCUCCCAGGUAAUAUAUAAUUCUUUCAUGGUUUCUCAUCGCUGUAUUACACUCCCUCCAUUCCAAAAUAAGUGUUGCUGAUUUAGUACUAAAUUAGUAUAAAAUUUGUACCAAAUCAGCGACACUUAUUUUGGGACGGAGGGAAUACUCUGUUAUCUUACGCGCCUUUUGCUCUCUUCAGAUCAGGGAUGCAGAAGAUGCAGUUAGGGAGCUUUGGAAGAGGAGGAACAUUGUUGAUCAUGAUCUUAUGGUUAGUUUAAGGGCUGCUGCUGGACUGCCUUCUUUAGAAGAUGUGACACCUUGUCCAAACUCGGACGAUGAAAGACUCGGUGCAUUAGUAUUGAAAAAUGAUGGUAGAAACACACUAAAAUUCUCUUUCAAAAGUAACAGCAGUAAGCCUCCAUUAGAUCAAUCUGAACAAGAAAAGAAUGUUCCUAAGAACUCAGGGACGAAUAAGAAGCAUUCCAAGAAAAAAGGCAAUCAAGGUAAUAAGUCAGUUGCUGAUCCGAAUGAGAUAUUUCUUGAGAGAAGGCAUGAAGUCAAAUCAAUGAGUAGUCACUUGGGAGAUCAUACUGUAGAUGUUAAUCAUGACAGGAAUUCUUUCAAGAAUAAUGAGAAUGUGUUUGUUUUAUCUUCAACUCGAAGUUCAGAGAAGGAUCUGAAAUCCGCAUCUGCGAAAGCUGCAACAAACAGUGCAGAUAUGAUACCAAAAGUCAAAAUCAAAGGCAGUAAGGUGCCGAGCCUGCAUUUCAAAGAUAUAGGUGAGGAAAAUAAUGCCAAGGGUGACACAGGGAAAGGUACCAAGUUGGUUAUUCAUCUUGGAACCCGUCACAAAAGUAAAAGUGGCUCUCCUAAGUCUGAAAUGUCCAAUUCUCAUAAAGAGCAAGAGCUUGCUUUGAUGCAUGGUACGUGCCUUAUUUUGUUUUGCUUUGCCAUUUAUCUUUUUAGUUUGCUUGAUAUAUUGUAUCUGGCAUGUAUGUACAAACUUCUGUGCUAGUAACUACUAGUAAUUUACUAAUUUGAGACGUUACUAAAGGUCUCCUAUAGACAGCUAUGAAAUUAUAGCUAUUUUGUGGGCAUUUGUCCUCAUAAACUUUCAAUUGACAUAUGUUGCCAUAUUGGCAUAAUUUUAAGAACUGGACUUGUGACCAAACAUGUCAGGAUGCUGGUUCAUCCAGUUUGAUAUUCGGACCAUUAUAUACUCAAAAAUGUUCCAAAUACUGGCCAGUUAAUCGGCAUCUCGGUCAGUUAAUCGCUACUCGGUGUGUUACCGAAUAGCUGAUUAGCUGAUAUAUUGGCCGAUUGACUGGCCAAUUCGUCUAUUUAUCAUAGUUCAAAAAGCGCUGUUAGGCGCUCGCCUAAGCGUGCUUAAGCGGUGGGUGUUGGCAUAACGCCUCGCUUUGGCCCUAAGCGCUCAAAAAGGCGGCUGGCGAGAAAUCAGCCUUCUCCGUCGAGGAAUUGUGUUUCUCAGGCGAGAGAUCAAUCUCCCUGGCGAGGAUUUGACCUCCCUAGGAUUUGACCACUCCGACGACAAAUCGAUCUAUUCCGGCAACGGGUUGAGAUUCUCUGUCGAGAAAUCGAGCUUUGCUGGCUUGUUGCCAUGGGUGCAGCAAGGGAGAGGAAGAGGUAGAGAGGCGGCAUGAGGAGGAUCCCUAACAUUUUUGUUGACUGUGCACACACAGGAGGUUUUAAUAAGAGAAGAAUAAGGAUAGAUGGGCCGGUGCUUUAAUGGGCCAGGUCACCUCAUCUUGCUUAUUUCUUCACACUAGCGAUCGUGUACGGAACUCCUAAUCGCGCCUAAGCAGCGCAUAAGCUAUCAAGGCGCAAAUAGGUGGUCAAACGCAUAAUUUACACCUAGUGCUUUUUUGAACUUUGCUAUUUAUCCCUACUCAACACCUGACCGAUAUGGUACUAGUUACCGAUAUCCUGAACAUUAUAGUAUAUAUAGUAGAAAAAGGCAAAAUAGAAUUUCUUCUAUUGAACAAUAGCUGACCUGAGGCGAGUUGGUUAUCAUAUGCCAUGGUUGGGCUUUGGCCUACUGCCUAGGUGACCCGGGUUCGGAUCAUCCAGCACGGAUUACAUUUUUCUCGCCUCCACCCGUUCCGCUGCCUGGUUUGCACAAAGAUACCCGGUCGACCGCUUUUCACCAGUCCGGUGGCUGGGACGGUGUUAUGACGCUGCUAGAAGGAGGGCGUGAGAGGGCCGGCCGGGGGCCUUUUGCCCACGGCCAGGCAAGAGGGAAGGGAUUUCCUUCUUAAUUCUUGCUUGAUUAGAUUGAUACAUCUCCUCUCCUUAUAUAGAGGUUUACUUGACUCCCAAGCAAGGCUUACUUGACCCCUAAGCAAGCGACCCUUAUCUCUAAUUAACCCUAAGACUAAUGGGCUAUACCGUCAGCCCAGGCCCAUUACGUACUCUACACUACACCCCACCUGGACAUGCAGCUUGUCCUCGAGCACAAACCUAACACCUAAAAACAAGCCUUUUACAUCUCGGCUUGUGUUAUUACUCUCAAACUGAAAUAGACUGGGACGCUUUAUUUUGGACGUGCACGUGUACAGCCAGCUGGAUCCCAUGGACACCACGUGGACAAAAGGAGUGCAUGUGUAUGGCUGUUGGUCUGCACUACAUAGGGAAGAGUGGAGGGCUUGCGAUGGAGAAUGGCGAGGAGGGGUGCGCCCCCCCCAACCGCCGAUAUCGCAGACUUUGAGGUCGCUGCCCACGGGGAAACCAGCAUGCCCGCCGCCCGUGGGGGAAACCGCAUGCCCAAGAUCCCCGACGCAGCGGACGAGAUCGAGGUCGCAGCGAAGGGCAACUUGGAGGAGCGGCAACUGCAGACCACGCAUCUCCCGCACACGCCGACGCGCUAGGAGGCCGCGCGCAGCAGCCUGCAGCCUCACCGCCGCCGACACGUGGCGGGUAGCGAUCUGCGCCGGCGGGGACUUGAUCUGCUGGAUGUGGACGCCCUGGGAUGGCGGCGGCGCUGAUGGGAACAAGGUCGUUGCAGUCCCGUCGUAGGGCAUCCCAUACUGGGCGGCAGAGCUGACCGGCGGUGGCUGCUGCGGUGUCGCGCCGGGCAGCGGCAACGGCUGCUGCGGCAAAGCGCCGGGCGCGGCGGAGGCCGCUAGGAGCGGCGGCUGCCACUGCAGCCAGGGCUGGGCGGUGGUGGCGAUGGAUGGCAGCUGCAGUGGCCCGGCGAAGGCCGCCUGGUGUGGCGGCAGCCACGGCGGCGCGGGGGCGGCGAUGGGCGGCGCAACCUGUAGGACCCGGCCAAGAAUAUGUGGAUCUCCUGGACCGCCUGGGUUAGGUCCUGCAGCACCCCGAACACCUCCUCCGGGGUGAGGACGGCGGGGGCGGGGGCGGGCGCGACGGAGGAUCCCGACGCGGGCAGGAGCGGGGCGACAGUCGUGGUGGUCGCCGGAGGCGACGAGGUGACCGGCAGCGGAAGAGACGGGCUUGGCGGCGGUGAAGACAUGAUCGAACCGAAGCUAGCUGAUACCAAAUUGUUAUGACGCUGCUAGAAGGAGGGCGCGAGAGGGCCGGCCGGGGGCCUUUUGCCCACGGCCAGGCAAGAGGGAAGGGAUUUCCUUCUUAAUUCUUGCUUGAUUAGAUUGAUACAUCUCCUCUCCUUAUAUAGAGAGGUUUACUUGACUCCCAAGCAAGGCUUACUUGACCCCUAAGCAAGCGACCCUUAUCUCUAAUUAACCCUAAGACUAA
Molecule: long non-coding RNA, 6877 nt
Filed under: Triticum aestivum (bread wheat)
Lineage: Eukaryota; Viridiplantae; Streptophyta; Magnoliopsida; Poales; Poaceae
Description: long non-coding RNA (TAES_LNC006886)
Rfam family: MIR1120/MIR1122 microRNA precursor family (bases 1822-1936)
Source: RNAcentral